Long non-coding RNA from Neoarius graeffei (lesser salmon catfish), 301 nucleotides. RefSeq lists it as uncharacterized. The transcript has 3 exons. The record is from RefSeq and is a predicted model, not a curated record. NCBI's taxonomy places the organism in Eukaryota, Metazoa, Chordata, Actinopteri, Siluriformes, Ariidae.
CAUGGAGGAGUUUUUGGCAGCAGAGGCCCUGGUGAAGGAAGAUGCCAAACAAAAGCAGCUAAUGGUGUCUACCUUAGCCCUUUGAGGAGGAACCGACGUAGGGGUCACAGUGAGGCAGAUGCUGCGUAGCCUCCUGGUCAACAGCUAGGCCAGCCAAUUUAACUGGGCUGGAAAGGGGGAAAAAACUGCGUUUAAGGACACCAAGAUCCAUGAUGUCCUGUUUGAUGCUCUACAAAAGCAGCUGCCAGGGAGCACACACACUACUUUUAGUGACGCAAUCAAGAAGUGGCUUAAGUAUGCG